RNAcentral lists this ribosomal RNA (438 nucleotides) under uncultured bacterium. RNAcentral's name for it is "bacterial SSU rRNA". It matches the Rfam family "Bacterial small subunit ribosomal RNA", at positions 30 to 504 of the family's 1533-position model. The record is from RNAcentral.
CGAACGCUGGCGGCAGGCCUAACACAUGCAAGUCGAACGAGAAGCUUCCUUCGGGAAGUGGAGAGUGGCGCACGGGUGAGUAACGCGUGGGAAUUUGCCUUUUGGUACGGGAUAACGUCUGGAAACGGACGCUAAUACCGUAUGAUAUCUACGGAUUAAAGAUUUAUCGCCAGAAGAGGAGCCCGCGUAGGAUUAGGUAGUUGGUGGGGUAAUGGCUCACCAAGCCGACGAUCCUUAGCUGUUCUGAGAGGAAGAUCAGCCACACUGGAACUGAGACACGGUCCAGACUCCUACGGGAGGCAGCAGUGGGGAAUAUUGGACAAUGGGGGCAACCCUGAUCCAGCCAUGCCGCGUGAGUGAAGAAGGCCCUAGGGUUGUAAAGCUCUUUCGCCAGGGAAGAUAGUGACGGUACCUGGUAAAGAAGUCCCGGCUAACUCC